This 72-nucleotide transfer RNA is filed under the name candidate division WWE3 bacterium RIFCSPLOWO2_01_FULL_42_11. RNAcentral's name for it is "tRNA-Lys". It matches the Rfam family "tRNA". From Rfam's summary of the family: Transfer RNA (tRNA) molecules are approximately 80 nucleotides in length. Their secondary structure includes four short double-helical elements and three loops (D, anti-codon, and T loops). Lineage: Bacteria; candidate division WWE3. The record is from RNAcentral.
GGGUUCGUAGCUCAGUGGCAGAGCAGUCGGCUCUUAACCGAACGGUCGAGGGUUCGAAUCCCUCCGAGCCCA